UACGUAGGGUGCAAGCGUUACUCGGAAUCACUGGGCGUAAAGGGUGCGUAGGCUGCCUAUUAAGUUGGAUGUGAAAGCCCUCGGCUUAACCGAGGAACUGCGUCCAAAACUGGUGGGCUUGGGGUUGGUAGGGGACAGUGGAACUCCAGGUGGAGCGGUGAAAUGCGUAGAGAUCUGGAGGAACUCCGGUGGCGAAAGCGACUGUCUGGGCCAUACCCGACGCUGAGGCACGAAAGCCAGGGGAGCGAACAGGAUUAGAAACCCUGGUAGU
RNAcentral lists this ribosomal RNA (271 nucleotides) under uncultured bacterium. RNAcentral describes it as "partial 16S ribosomal RNA". It matches the Rfam family "Bacterial small subunit ribosomal RNA", at positions 524 to 794 of the family's 1533-position model. The record is from RNAcentral.